GCUUGGGUGGCUCAGUCGGUUGGGCAUCUGACUUCAGCUCAGGUCAUGAUCUUUCAGUCAGUGAGUUCAAGCCCUGCCUCAGGCU
This 85-nucleotide transfer RNA is filed under the name Felis catus (domestic cat). It matches the Rfam family "tRNA". Rfam says of the family: Transfer RNA (tRNA) molecules are approximately 80 nucleotides in length. Their secondary structure includes four short double-helical elements and three loops (D, anti-codon, and T loops). The record is from Rfam by way of RNAcentral. Lineage: Eukaryota; Metazoa; Chordata; Mammalia; Carnivora; Felidae.